Molecule: ribosomal RNA, 274 nt
Filed under: uncultured bacterium
Lineage: Bacteria
Description: partial 16S ribosomal RNA
Rfam family: Bacterial small subunit ribosomal RNA
Source: RNAcentral
AUACGUAGGGUGCGAGCGUUAAUCGGAAUUACUGGGCGUAAAGCGUGCGCAGGCGGUUUUGUAAGUCAGAUGUGAAAUCCCCGGGCUUAACCUGGGAACUGCGUUUGAAACUGCAAGGCUAGAGUGUGACAGAGGGGGGUGGAAUUCCGCGUGUAGCAGUGAAAUGCGUAGAGAUGUGGAGGAACACCAAUGGCGAAGGCAGCCCCCUGGGUCAACACUGACGCUCAGGCACGAAAGCAUGGGGAGCAAACAGGAUUAGAUACCCCGGUAGUCC